RNAcentral lists this ribosomal RNA (168 nucleotides) under uncultured bacterium. Its description in RNAcentral is "partial 16S ribosomal RNA". It matches the Rfam family "Bacterial small subunit ribosomal RNA", at positions 1326 to 1500 of the family's 1533-position model. The record is from RNAcentral.
CUGGAUUCGCUAGUAAUCGCGCAUCAGCCAUGGCGCGGUGAAUACGUUCCCGGGCCUUGUACACACCGCCCGUCAAGCCAUGAAAGCCGGGGGGCGCCUGAAGUCCGUGACCGCGAGGGUCGGCCUAGGGUGAAACCGGUGAUUGGGGCUAAGUCGUAACAAGGUAAC